This is a long non-coding RNA of Salarias fasciatus (jewelled blenny), 1103 nucleotides long. RefSeq lists it as uncharacterized. The transcript is spliced from 2 exons. Lineage: Eukaryota; Metazoa; Chordata; Actinopteri; Blenniiformes; Blenniidae. The record is from RefSeq and is a predicted model, not a curated record.
CAUCAGAUCCAGCAGAUGGAGCACAACUCAAAGGCAAGACCUGCAUAGUAUUUUUAUUUUAUAUAUAUCUAAAAAAAAUUCUACAUUUUUUGUGAGUCAUUUCAGAAAGUCAAACCUUUGUAUGAUAUAGCCUCAUGAAACAUAUAAUUAAAUAUUACCUUUAUUUAUUGAAAUAUUGGGUCCAGUUUUUCUGUAUCCAAAUGAUCUGGAUUUGGAAAUCCUCUUUCUUGCUAUCCAGGAUCAAGCAAUUCGUCUUUCUGUUAUGCUGGUUGAAUCUGAUCAACCCGGAUCCAGAUGCAGCUUUCAAGUUUACCAAAUCCAGAUAAGCAGUGCUCUCAGUGGAACAUAUCAUAAUGUGGCCGAGCAGCAAAGUAAAUGACAACAGGGAGAAGAGCCAACAUGGGCUCACUUUAGGAGUUUUUAUUCUGAGACAAACGUUUCCUCAUGUCAAGCCACUUCUGAACAAGAGAACGAGUCAGAAGCGUCGGACUGACGUCGACUCACAUCAGCAGCUGUGGAGAAAAAGAACUGAACUGUUGCUCAAUGGUCCAAAGUCCUUCUCUUCAGAUGACAGUCAAUUUUAUCAAUCGUUUGGAAAUCAAGGUCCCAGAGUCUGGAGGAAGAGUGGAGAGGUUUGGGGACUCAUCGUCAUCAUCAUCAUCAUCGUCAUUAUCAAAGAUUGUUGGCUGGAAACAUUGGACCCUGACCAAGCGGCUCCAGGCUGCACGUCCACUAGCAAUACUCUUGACACUCCAAACCCUGAGUCCCGUCUGAUUCCUUGAUUAUUUUUUUAUCUAAUAAAAUCCAGUAAUGUCUCGUGAGAUGGAGACAUAUUUUGCAAUUGCCUUGCCUUUAUUUGUACUGUUUUCUUCUUCUAUUUUUUUUAACUCAUUGAAACACUUUGUAAUGGACUUUUUCCCAGCAUAACUGGUUUUUUUCUGGUAAAUUCCUUUACCUUUAUCCUGGUACAUUUCUUUUAGUUCCUUUGUUGUGUUAAUUAAUUUGCCUUUCUAUUGAAACCACUUGGAUCAAUGCUUUUGUCCUAUGCAAGCCUUUUGUAUUCGGAAUAUUAUUAUUGCUCACAUUAAACGAAAAGUAAACGG